This 2176-nucleotide long non-coding RNA is filed under the name Eutrema salsugineum. RNAcentral's name for it is "long non-coding RNA (ESAL_LNC002189)". The record is from RNAcentral. Lineage: Eukaryota; Viridiplantae; Streptophyta; Magnoliopsida; Brassicales; Brassicaceae.
UUACAUUAUUCAUCCUAGCAAUUUUAGCUAAACGAUCAGCAACACUAUUCACAAUACAUGGAAUUUUAAAAAGUUUCUCUUUCUCUCUCUCUCUUAUCUUUUCUCUCUUUAGGCGAUUUCCAGCGGUGUCUGGAUAGUUCUUCACCGCUUCACCUCUAUUUUGUCACUCAGUCGUGUGUGGUUUUCUCAUUUCCCAUACAUCGAAAUCCUCUACAUCACAGAGAACAUGGAUAAGGAUCUCUGUUAGAGUUACAAAACCUGAAUCUAGGUUCAAAGAUUUCAUAUGAAGUUGUCGAUCGAAGCAACAAAGAAGAGAGAAGCAAAACAUCGUUUUAGACUUGUAGUGAAAGGGCUUAAUCAGGAAAUCGAAAGAGCAACCGGAAUCAGGUUUAUUGAUAUAUUCAUAAUUUACAUGUUUAGGAUUGCAUUUUUAGUCCAAGUUUAGAGUCUCAUUCAUACAUUUUAGAUAGAUUCAUCAUGAGUUACACUUGUUUUAGAGUUUUAGGGCUUUGCAUUAGGUCCAAGUGAGUUUUGCAUGUUUUGGAGUGUUUACAGGUGAUGUGGAACCAGUUUGGACCUGAAAAGAUGAAGCCAGGAAAAUAAAUGGUGAAUGAAGCUUUAAAAAUGGUGAAAACAGUUUUUUGGAGGUUAUCGGCGAUGGCCCAGGAAGCUUCUCUCGGCGAUUUUCAUGUACCGCAGGUUGACUCUCUUGGCUAAAAACCUUACCGCGUGUUGAAGUCUCGGCUAAAAUUUCUCUGUGUCAGUAUGCUCUAAAGAUCGCGUUACCAGAAGCCCUUCCGGUCCAAUUCAGAUGUCGGGUGCUUCAGCAAAGUUGGAGAGGAUCGAGUCACGGUUCCAGAACAGGUGGAAUCAUUGGAUUUGAAGUAGUGAGCAGAGAGUUGAGCUCACCGGAAGGCACACCGGAAGCUAUUUAAGCUUUUUAAACCUAAUUUGUUCACAACUUUUAUCUUAUCUCUUUUUUCCUUACCUUUUUAGUGUAAAACCGACUUUGAUUAAGAGAUAUCUGGCAGAUUUAAUCAUUUAAAAGCUGUUUCUUAUCAUUGCAUCAUCUCAUCUUUGCUUCUAAUCAUGCUUAACUUCACCUCUUCCAAAAGAAAUGGUGUGUUCUUCAUGAUUAGUGAGUAGUCAUCUUUUAAGCUUCUAGGUGUGUAGAUUAGAGUGCUUAGAUGCUUGAUUUAUGAUGUUUAGGUUCUAGAUUCUCAUUUCCUUUCCUUAGUUAGCUGCUCUUAAUGCUAGAUCUUUGCACAUCACUCUGAUCUAGACCUUAGGCAUUUUUCCACCCACAAGGUAUUUCAUGAAAUGCCUGAAAGAGCUAAACUAAGGUUUUAUGCCUUUUUCAUCAUGAGAGUGAUAGUAAAAUGCAUAAAUGACAUAUUAGAACUGUUUCUUAAUGCUUAUUGAUUCAUAUUUCACAAAUGAGAAUUUGGUUUGAAAAUGGAUUAGUAUAGAGGUUAAUGCCUUCAUUAGAGGAUUAAUCUAGAUUCGAGUUCUAAGUUAAUUGAUUUUGAGAUCAUGUGAUUACUUGUUGCAUCUUUCUGUGUAAGAUUCAGUGUUCUCUUAAGUAGAAACUGUGUGGUCAUCAUUAGACUUGAAACUUUAUGCUUGUUGAUUGCUUGAUCUUGCUUAAGAUGAAUUAAUCUUGAUUAAGUGGUUUGCAAAGGGAUUAUUGGCAUGGGAAUGAAUUAAUCUGCUUUUAAAGUCUAGACUAAAGAGUAACAAGUGUUUCAUUAUGUUCUUAGCAUCAUGAAUCAACAUUGAAAGCAUCCUAAUCAAUGAUCACUUCUAGAGGUUUAGCUUUCAUCAUCUUUAUUAUCAUCAUCAUCUUCUUUGCUUGGUUGCUUGUUUAGUUUAUUAAUAAUCAUUGCUUUGCUUGUUUUAUGUUUUAUGCUUCUUUGUUACUUUGUUCACCACCAAAACUCCCUUUAUUUCACUUGACUUAAAGACUUGUCACAUAUACUAAUGCCUGACUACCACACAUAUAGAUUUGAUACCCUUUAUGCUACAACAGAUAAGGGAUUGAUAACCCUCAUUUUAGAGCUUAAAAACUUUAGUUAUCAAUUGAUGCUGUUGCCAUAUUGUGUGGGCAUUGUUAGCAUUAGUUUCUGAUAUAGUUUUUGAGAUCAAGUUUAUUUUGUUUUACUGAUUCCCUUUCAAG